Molecule: non-coding RNA, 160 nt
Organism: Penaeus vannamei (Pacific white shrimp)
Lineage: Eukaryota; Metazoa; Arthropoda; Malacostraca; Decapoda; Penaeidae
Source: RefSeq, a predicted model, not a curated record
GCUUCAUAUAUGGCUUUCUCCAGAUGAAUACGGAUUCAAGUUUGAUUUGCAGUGAGUUCAUAUCAUCUUCUGUAAUCUUGCAAUCAACAUGAACCGGAAUCACGACAUAGGGUCCUACGAGGAGUUUGACGAAGAUGGCAACAGUAUCGCAAAAGAUUCC